RNAcentral lists this ribosomal RNA (447 nucleotides) under uncultured bacterium. RNAcentral describes it as "bacterial SSU rRNA". It matches the Rfam family "Bacterial small subunit ribosomal RNA", at positions 329 to 792 of the family's 1533-position model. The record is from RNAcentral.
CGCCAGACUCCUACGGGAGGCAGCAGUGGGGAAUAUUGCACAAUGGGCGAAAGCCUGAUGCAGCAACGCCGCGUGAAGGAAGAAGGCCUUCGGGUCGUAAACUUCUGUCCUUGGGGAAGAAGAACUGACGGUACCCAAGGAGGAAGCCCCGGCUAACUACGUGCCAGCAGCCGCGGUAAUACGGAGGAUGCGAGCGUUAUCCGGAUUUAUUGGGUUUAAAGGGUGCGCAGGCGGCACGGCAAGCCGGCGGUCAAAUCGCGGGGCUCAACCCCGCCCAGCCGUCGGAACUGCCGGGCUAGAGUGGGCGAGAAGUGCGCGGAAUGCGUGGUGUAGCGGUGAAAUGCAUAGAUAUCACGCAGAACUCCGAUUGCGAAGGCAGCGCACCGGCGCCCUACUGACGCUCAGGCACGAAAGCGUGGGUAUCGAACAGGAUUAGAUACCCUUGUA